GAUUAUAAAAGAUCUUAUGGUUCUGCUGAAUGAGAUUCUGGAACAAGUGGAAGAUAAAAUAUGUCUGAGAUCAUUAAAGUAAAUCAAAAUGAAGUUAGAAAAAUUCAAUAGAGGAAUACAGGAUAUGAUAACUAAGCAGUAGCAGUAAAGAAUGCCAAAAUGACUGUCAUUGUACAAAGUAAAAUAAAAAGAAUAAAAAAGCAUGUGUGACUCUCAAGCAUAUGUCAUGCAAGCAGCCCUAGCAUCAAAAUCUACUCAGCAGAAUACGAGCAGAGGUCAGAGAAGGUGACAGGACAGUUUGCCUGGUGUGAACAGAUGACAUCAAACUCUCAGGCUAACAUAAUGUGAUCUAGAAGUUCCAGAACCAGAAUCAGAAAUAAAGGUGACUCAGUCAAAUGGUAGCUCUGUUUUAAGUUGUUAGAGAAAUCUCCAGACUGAUUUCUAAGUGGACGAAUUCAUUUACAUU
RNAcentral lists this long non-coding RNA (466 nucleotides) under Homo sapiens (human). RNAcentral describes it as "non-protein coding lnc-CDH12-4:1". The record is from RNAcentral. Lineage: Eukaryota; Metazoa; Chordata; Mammalia; Primates; Hominidae.